This 484-nucleotide ribosomal RNA is filed under the name uncultured bacterium. Its description in RNAcentral is "partial 16S ribosomal RNA". It matches the Rfam family "Bacterial small subunit ribosomal RNA", at positions 30 to 507 of the family's 1533-position model. The record is from RNAcentral.
AUUGAACGCUGGCGGCAGGCCUAACACAUGCAAGUCGAGCGGAUGAAGGGAGCUUGCUCCUGGAUUCAGCGGCGGACGGGUGAGUAAUGCCUAGGAAUCUGCCUGGUAGUGGGGGAUAACGUCCGGAAACGGGCGCUAAUACCGCAUACGUCCUGAGGGAGAAAGUGGGGGAUCUUCGGACCUCACGCUAUCAGAUGAGCCUAGGUCGGAUUAGCUAGUUGGUGGGGUAAAGGCCUACCAAGGCGACGAUCCGUAACUGGUCUGAGAGGAUGAUCAGUCACACUGGAACUGAGACACGGUCCAGACUCCUACGGGAGGCAGCAGUGGGGAAUAUUGGACAAAGGGCGAAAGCCUGAUCCAGCCAUGCCGCGUGUGUGAAGAAGGUCUUCGGAUUCUAAAGCACUUUAAGUUGGGAGGAAGGGCAGUAAGUUAAUACCUUGCUGUUUUGACGUUACCAACAGAAUAAGCACCGGCUAACUUCGUG